UUGAACGCUGGCGGCAGGCCUAACACAUGCAAGUCGCGCGGAUGAAGGGAGCUUGCUCCUGGAUUCAGCGGCGGACGGGUGAGUAAUGCCUAGGAAUCUGCCUGGUAGUGGGGGAUAACGUCCGGAAACGGGCGCUAAUACCGCAUACGUCCUGAGGGAGAAAGUGGGGGAUCUUCGGACCUCACGCUAUCAGAUGAGCCUAGGUCGGAUUAGCUUGUUGGUGGGGUAAAGGCCUACCAAGGCGACGAUCCGUAACUGGUCUGAGAGGAUGAUCAGUCACACUGGGAGUGAGACACGGUCCAGACUCCUACGGGAGGCAGCAGUGGGGAAUAUUGGACAAUGGGCGAAAGCCUGAUCAAGCCAUGCCGCGUGUGUGAAGAAGGUCUUCGGAUUGUAAAGCACUUUAAGUUGGGAGGAAGGGCAGUAAGUUAAUACCUGGCUGUUUUGACGUUACCAACAGAAUAAGCACCGGCUAACUUCGUG
This 483-nucleotide ribosomal RNA is filed under the name uncultured bacterium. RNAcentral describes it as "partial 16S ribosomal RNA". It matches the Rfam family "Bacterial small subunit ribosomal RNA", at positions 30 to 507 of the family's 1533-position model. The record is from RNAcentral.